CACAUCCUUGCCAGCAUUUGUUAUUUUCCAUUGUGUUGGUGUAAAGUGUAUCUCACUAUGGGUGUAAAGUGGUACCUCACUGUAGUGGUUUGUUUUUUUCUUAAGUGGGCUCCACACGUAACGUGGGGCUUGAGACCCUGAGCUUCAGAGUCGUGUGCUCCACUGACUAAGCCAGGUGGCUGCCCCUCGCUGUGGUUUUGACUUGCGUUUCCUCACGGCCAGAAGAUGUUCCACAACUUCUCCUGUGCUUCUCAGCAAUUUUGAAAAGCUGCUGUUUCAUCACAUUUAAAGGUCAUCUGAGAGAAAAUUAAUUUCAUUUCUGCCACUGUUUCUUUUCACUAUUUUUUUCUAAAAGACAAGAAGUUAAGUCCUUUCAUGUUGAGGACUUUUUCUCAAAGCAGAUACGUAUUUAUUGUAACCAUGAAGGAAAGGACCGCUUCGUUUUUCUUUGAACACCAUGGAAGGGAUAUCAGUAAGAAGAACGUUCUUGCACCGGGAAGACCAAGAACUUUCUACCUUGGGAUGAAAUGCCACCUGCAGGCUCCUGCUCAGAACACAGUGAAGCUAGGAGAAGGCCAAACCCCGACAAGACCACGUGCAGGUGUCCAGGGCCAGAAUGAGACCAGGACCAGACCCUGAGCGAUGGGGCCAGCUAGGAAGUGGGUCUUCCCGCCUCACAGAAGGUGGGCUUUCCAGAUGGUAACACCCAGGAUCUGUGAGCGGGCAGCAGGGUGUGGGGGAGGAGGCAAUGGCUGCUUUUUAUGCCAUCAAGUUCAAGGAGUUUCUAACACACCAGUAGCAACUAUGAGGGGAAAUUGACAUAUUUAUAAUGUCUUUGAAUACACAGUCUUUGUAGGUCUUUACACCAAAGUCUUCUUUAUGCCCCUAAAAUGGUAUUUUCUUCAUAAAGGAUAUACACGUCUCUUACUAAGUUUAUUGCUAAGUAUUUUGUUGCUAGUUUGCUAUGAUAAACACCAUUUCUAUCAA
Long non-coding RNA from Leopardus geoffroyi (Geoffroy's cat), 987 nucleotides. RefSeq lists it as uncharacterized. NCBI's taxonomy places the organism in Eukaryota, Metazoa, Chordata, Mammalia, Carnivora, Felidae. The record is from RefSeq and is a predicted model, not a curated record. The transcript has 2 exons.